Non-coding RNA from Schizosaccharomyces pombe (fission yeast), 688 nucleotides. The record is from the annotation of a GenBank genome assembly. Lineage: Eukaryota; Fungi; Ascomycota; Schizosaccharomycetes; Schizosaccharomycetales; Schizosaccharomycetaceae.
AAAAGGAACAAAAAAUAAGUUUUUUAAAAAUGUCAAUGUUUUUUCUCAUGAGCAAACCCUAAAAGUUGGAGCUAGAACCCUUAUUAAAGAUAAAAAGUGAAGCAAGAAUUAUUGCAGAAAAAAAAAUUUUGAAAACAAAAGUGAGUUUCUAUGCUUAACAACAUUGAUCGCUCACUCGGUUCUUUUAGAGUUUGAGGAACUUGGAUGGUCAGGAGAAUUAUUAGAACCAUCUCGGACAGUAGGAUAAGCAACUUGGUUAGUCAUGGAAGGUGGUUGAAUGAAGGGAUACGGCAUGCCAGAUUUUGCAGCUCCAGGUGCCAUCAUAACCCCUGAAGUAGGCAGUGGUAGCAUUUGUUCUGACAAGGGAAAAGGCGGGUGCUGGUAAGGAUACUGUGAAUAUGCUUGGAAAGCCUGAGGCAUAUUCGAAGUUGGACUCAUGUAUGGAGGGUAUGAAGUAUUAUACGGGAAAGGUACUGGAGAAUAGGUGUUCGGAACAUAAAAACCAUUCGCUGUUGGCAUUGAAGAACCAUAAUUAAUCAUAACCCUAUCAUGAGGGUAUACAUUACCAUCAGAAUAGGAAGGAUAUCCGUUUUGUCUAGGAUAAGAUUGAUCCUGUGUACGCCCACCAUACGUAGGCAUAGGGAAAUUUGUUGGUGCAUUUUGAAACUGGGCAGGAUUAUAGUAACCU